Molecule: long non-coding RNA, 4063 nt
Filed under: Triticum aestivum (bread wheat)
Lineage: Eukaryota; Viridiplantae; Streptophyta; Magnoliopsida; Poales; Poaceae
Description: long non-coding RNA (TAES_LNC021236)
Source: RNAcentral
CCCUGUGUGCUUUUGUUUGUGUUGUGGCUGUGUAGUUCCGGAUCUAGGUAAGUUUUGGAUCCAUGGAUCCAUGGUUCAUCUAUUCUUGGUGUUGUCGGUGGAUCCGUGGUAGGUGCAUGUUGCUGUCGUGUUUGUUUCUAGUCCGCCAUGCCUAGCGCUCCAUUUCCCAUCCUUCUGCUCGCCUGAGUUAUGUAGGAGCUUGUUGUAUGUGGGGGUUCUAAUCCAUCUGCUUGUUGUGGUCCUAUUCUCCCAUGCUUGUAGAUGUGGAGACAGGCGUAGGUUGUUUAUUCUGAUGUAGAUAUAGAGGUAGGGGAAGUUAUAGUUGCAGCGGUGGUUAGCCCUAUCAAUUUUAUUUCUGCCGGCCUGGGUGUCUGUUCCUUUGUCAUUAGAUGUAGUUGCAGAUGAUCUAGCCUGAUUUCUGCCUGCUUAUGCAGUUUAGUUGUAUUUGCUGUUAGCUGCUGCCUGCUGAUGUUUGCUGUUGUAGUCCCUGGAAUUCAUUAUGAUUUUUUGUGUUAGAUGUAGGUGUUCAUUUCCCCCGGUACCUGAAUCUCUCUGAAUUUGUGUGUACUAGGCUGCAGUGUUGUUGUAGUGUCAGUCCAGGAAUCUCUCUGAAUUGCAUGCUUCUUUACAGUGUAUAUUUACUCCAGACUUGAAGUGUAACUUACCCCUAGAAUUACAGUGUAUCCCCAUCCAGAAUUGCGGUGUAAUUUAACCCAUAAUUACAGUGUAACUUACCCCAUAAUUGUAGUGCAUUUACAGUGUAUCCCGAUGCUUCUUUAUUUGUUGUUACUCUGGAAUUUGUCCUAGUAGUACUGUGUAUUUUCCCCCUAAUUACAGUGUAAUCCUGAUGCUUCUUUCUUCAGUGUAAAUUUUGCUAUAAUUACUGUGUAAUAUGUCCGUAGAAUUACACUGUAGGUUACCCUGCAAUUACAGUGCAAUAUACCGUAAUUAGCGUGUGUUUUUGUGCUUUUUUAUUUGUAAUUACUGUGUAUUUUGUCCUAGAAUUACUGUAUAAUAUUUUCCCCCAUUACAGUGUAAUUCUCAUGUGUCGUAGAAUCACACUGUAGGUUAGCCUGCAAGUACAGUGUAAUAUACCAUAAUUACAUUGUUUUUUUCGUGCUUCUUUAUUUUGUAAUUACUGUGUAAUUUUCCCUAGAAUUACUGUGUAAUAUUUCCCCCCAUUACAGUGUAAUUAUCAUGCUUCUUUCAGUGUAAAUUGCAGUGUAUAUUUUUUCAGUGUAAUACUGCGCCAGUUUCUUUGUUAUUUACAUUGUAUUUUUUAUCAGAUGUUUUGCAUGCAUUCAUGUGGUUUUGCACUGUAAUAUCCCCCAUUCUUACUAUAUAAUUUAUCUUCAGUUCUUGGCAGUGUACUUCCUCUACCUUUUCAUUGUAAGUUGCCCUAAUUAUUGUGUAUUUUUAGUUUUUUACUCAGAGUUUCACUGUAUUUAGGUUGGUUUUUACACUGUAUUUAAGUGAUUCUUCCACUAUAUUAAUAUGCCCCCAUUACUCUAUAAUUCCCCUGAUUGCUGCCUUUCAAUGUAUUAUUUGUUGUGAGAUUUCCCUUGUAAUUGAGCCCCUUACUCUAUAAUUUUCAGCUUUCUUUAAUUUUCUUUCGUCUGUCAUGUAUUAUGUUUUGUUAGGUUUAGGUCAAUGUGGAGACUACGGGAAGUCUCUCACAAUGAUGUUUUGGUAGUUUCUUCUAUUGAGAGGGCUGAUUCUUUGAAUGAUCCUUUUGUGCCUAAUGACUUUGUGGAAGAUGGUUCUAAUGCUAUGUCUUUGGUAGUUAUUUUUGUCUUGUUCUCUACUUUCAUUUUCGUUUUUAUUCUUUCUUUCUAUUUAUUAAAAUUUCUGUUUGUUGACUGAAUUAUUGUUUAGGAUCUUUCUAGUGAUGAUAGAGGUUUUGAUAAAACUAUUUUCAAUUUCUAUGUGAAUCAUGUGAGUCUUUCUGAUCUAGUUACAAUUAAUGACUUAUCUUUUUUAUUCACAAGAAUUACAAUGUAAUUUAGCCUAAAAUUACAGUGUAGUAUGCCCCUAGUAUUACAGUGUAAUGUAUCCAAAAAUUUCAUUGCAAUCCCCAUGCUUCCUUUAUGUAAUUGCAGUGUAAUAUACCCUAGAAUUGCAGUGUAAUUUAGCCCAGGUUUUAGUGUAAUCCCAAUGCUUCAUUUUUUUAAAUGACAGUGUAAUUUUCCCAGAAUUACAGUGUAAACUCCAUGCUUCAUUUAUGUAAUUAUAGUGUAAUUUUCCCCAUAAUUACAGUGUAAACUUCAUGCUUUAUUUAUGUAAUUAUAGUGUAAUUAUUCCCCGAAUUGCAGUGUAAAUUUUCCUAGAAAUUCAGUAUAAUUUUUCUUCUUUAAACAAAGUAGUGUAAUUUUCCCGAUGAACCUCUGUAUUACUUGGUAUUUGGGCUUCAUUCUUGUUCAGAUUUGCUUGAAUUACAGUGGAUUUUAACUCUGCUUUGUGUGAUUAUCCUGUGUAGUCUCUUGGUUAUUAUCAUUGUAAUCCACUAGUGUGAUUAUUCAUUUCUUCACUGUCCAUGUGUACCAGCACUGUAACAAGCUCUACUUUUGAUUGUCAAUAUUAAUGCAUUCAUCUGAUAGGACUUGUGUUCUUUAUGCUGAUAGGUCUGUCUCUGUAUUCAUGACUUCAUCUGAACUUGCAUGUAUCUCUCUACUUAUUCUGUUCAGCUUUUGCUUGAAUUUCCGGUGAAUUUUAACUCUUUGAAUUACAAUGUAAUACCUCUUAAUUUCUCUGUAAUUUCCACUAUAUUUGUAGUGUAAUAUUCCCCAGGAUUACAUUGUAAUAUACAUACCCCAAAUUUAUAUUGUAAUAUCCCCCGGAAUUACAUUGUAAUUCUGAAUUGUAUUAAAUAAUGCUGGAAUACAGUGUAAUAUUCCCCCAGUUUUCAUUGUAUGUCAUGUAGGUAUUACACUGGAAUUCAUCUCAUUUUUUCCAUGAAUGUCAUGAGUUGUCUAACUCUGUAAUUUCCCCUGAGUUCAUGUUAGCUACAUUGCCCUGUAUCGCAGCAAAGAUUUUUUCAUGUGUACUACAACACAACUUUUUUCAUGUAAUUUCCUCAUGGUUCAUGUUACCUACAUUGCCCUAUACUGCAGCAAAGUUUUUUUUCAUGUGUACAUUACACUGGAAUUCAUGUUGGUGUAGUGUUUUGACAGUGAAAUAUUAACAGUUUUACCUUCCGACAGUUAGAAUUUUUCCCCUGACGAUUCCAAAAUUCUCACUAGAUUGUAUGAUGGUUUUUUUGCAGGCUAGUUCAUGUAGCAGGUGUAUGUAGAGCAGCAGGGUGAGGAAAAACAUGGAAGAGUUCAAUAGAAGUGUGAUCAAAAGGAGUAGGACAUUUCGUGAGCUGUGGACCGUCUCUUGGAUGAUCUUCCUUUGUCCACCACCAAUUAUUCAGAUAUGUUCUUCCCCCUUGCUUCUCUCCAGGUACUUGCCCCUCUGAUGUGCCUCUCUGACUUGUUUUUGUUCUUCCUUCUUCUCACUCCCUCUCUCCCAUGACGCCUCUCUGAUGUUUUUCUACUCUUUCUUCUCAUUUCCCCUCUCCCAUGGGCCAUGGCGCCUCCCAGAUGACUUGUGUGAUGCAAGUUAAAGGAGGGUCCUGGGAGACGCCAGUAUUCUGAUGAAUUUUGUUCCUUUUCUUUGUCAGGUGAUUUGUUGUCCAGGAAAGGAAAAAAGAGCGUGGGCAACGGUCCAGGAGGGUUUGGUGAUAGUUGCCUUGUUUUGUUUCGGUUAUUAGUUAGAACCGGGUCAGAUUUUAGCCACACGACCCCUUUUUUGGAAAUACAAGCAUACAAUUGUCCAUGGUAUUUGGACAUAGGUGUCAGCACUUGAUUUAUCAGGAAAUUGACUAUAAUAUAGUGCUUUUUACCUUUGUAUUGGAUGACUUUCUCUGUUAUUUAACAUGUUUACCUCUGACCCGGGUUUGAUGUUUACCCCCGACCUGUUUAGGCGUUCUUUUUUGCUUUCUGUUGAUUUUUCUGCUCAUAGAGGUGUAAUGUGUUGAUUGGUCAAGAAAUUUGACUGUUUUCGAAUUGAAAAACAGUCAAAU